RNAcentral lists this ribosomal RNA (253 nucleotides) under uncultured bacterium. Its description in RNAcentral is "partial 16S ribosomal RNA". It matches the Rfam family "Bacterial small subunit ribosomal RNA", at positions 526 to 779 of the family's 1533-position model. The record is from RNAcentral.
CGGAGGGUGCGAGCGUUAUCCGGAUUUACUGGGUUUAAAGGGUGUGUAGGCGGGCUGGUAAGUCAGGGGUGAAAUCCCGGAGCUCAACUCCGGAACUGCCUUUGAUACUACUGGUCUUGAAUAUUGUUGAGGUAGGCGGAAUGUGUCAUGUAGCGGUGAAAUGCAUAGAUAUGACACAGAACACCGAUUGCGAAGGCAGCUUACUGGGCAAUUAUUGACGCUGAGGCACGAAAGCGUGGGAUCAAACAGGAUU